GCGGAUGUGGCUCAGUUGGUAGAGCACAACCUUGCCAAGGUUGGGGUCGCGAGUUCGAAUCUCGUCAUCCGCUCGA
RNAcentral lists this transfer RNA (76 nucleotides) under Microbacteriaceae bacterium. RNAcentral's name for it is "tRNA-Gly". It matches the Rfam family "tRNA". Rfam says of the family: Transfer RNA (tRNA) molecules are approximately 80 nucleotides in length. The record is from RNAcentral. Lineage: Bacteria; Bacillati; Actinomycetota; Actinomycetes; Micrococcales; Microbacteriaceae. RNAcentral also lists the same sequence under 2 other names.